RNAcentral lists this ribosomal RNA (273 nucleotides) under uncultured bacterium. RNAcentral describes it as "partial 16S ribosomal RNA". It matches the Rfam family "Bacterial small subunit ribosomal RNA", at positions 524 to 796 of the family's 1533-position model. The record is from RNAcentral.
GACGAACCGUACGAACGUUAUUCGGAAUUACUGGGCUUAAAGGGUGCGUAGGCUGCACGGAAAGUUGGGUGUGAAAGCCCUCAGCUCAACUGAGGAAUUGCAUCCAAAACUACCGUGCUUGAGGGAGACAGAGGUGAGCGGAACUCAAGGUGGAGCGGUGAAAUGCGUUGAUAUCUUGAGGAACACCGGUGGCGAAAGCGGCUCACUGGGUCUCUUCUGACGCUGAGGCACGAAAGCUAAGGUAGCAAACGGGAUUAGAUACCCCAGUAGUCC